Molecule: ribosomal RNA, 253 nt
Filed under: uncultured bacterium
Lineage: Bacteria
Description: partial 16S ribosomal RNA
Rfam family: Bacterial small subunit ribosomal RNA
Source: RNAcentral
GACGUAGGGCGCGAGCGUUGUCCGGAUUUAUUGGGCGUAAAGAGCUCGUAGGCGGCUUGUCGCGUCGGCUGUGAAAACCCGGAGCUCAACUCCGGGCCUGCAGUCGAUACGGGCAAACUGGAGUGUUGCAGGGGAGACUGGAAUUCCUGGUGUAGCGGUGAAAUGCGCAGAUAUCAGGAGGAACACCGGUGGCGAAGGCGGGUCUCUGGGCAACAACUGACGCUGAGGAGCGAAAGCGUGGGGAGCGAACAGG